GAUGAACGCUGGCGGCGUGCCUAAUACAUGCAAGUCGAGCGAACAGACGAGGAGCUUGCUCCUCUGACGUUAGCGGCGGACGGGUGAGUAACACGUGGAUAACCUACCUAUAAGACUGGGGUAACUUCGGGAAACCGGAGCUAAUACCGGAUAAUAUAUUGAACCGCAUGGUUCAAUAGUGAAAGACGGUUUUGCUGUCACUUAUAGAUGGAUCUGCGCCGCAUUAGCUAGUUGGUAAGGUAACGGCUUACCAAGGCAACGAUGCGUAGCCGACCUGAGAGGGUGAUCGGCCACACUGGAACUGAGACACGGUCCAGACUCCUACGGGAGGCAGCAGUAGGGAAUCUUCCGCAAUGGGCGAAAGCCUGACGGAGCAACGCCGCGUGAGUGAUGAAGGUCUUCGGAUCGUAAAACUCUGUUAUUAGGGAAGAACAAAUGUGUAAGUAACUAUGCACGUCUUGACGGUACCUAAUCAGAAAGCCACGGCUAACUACGUG
RNAcentral lists this ribosomal RNA (497 nucleotides) under uncultured bacterium. Its description in RNAcentral is "partial 16S ribosomal RNA". It matches the Rfam family "Bacterial small subunit ribosomal RNA", at positions 28 to 507 of the family's 1533-position model. The record is from RNAcentral.